CCUACGGGCGGCAGCAGUGGGGAAUAUUGCACAAUGGGCGCAAGCCUGAUGCAGCCAUGCCGCGUGUGUGAAGAAGGCCUUCGGGUUGUAAAGCACUUUCAGCGGGGAGGAAGGCGUUAAGGUUAAUAACCUUGUCGAUUGACGUUACCCGCAGAAGAAGCACCGGCUAACUCCGUGCCAGCAGCCGCGGUAAUACGGAGGGUGCAAGCGUUAAUCGGAAUUACUGGGCGUAAAGCGCACGCAGGCGGUCUGUCAAGUCGGAUGUGAAAUCCCCGGGCUCAACCUGGGAACUGCAUUCGAAACUGGCAGGCUGGGUUCUGGUGGCGGGGGUAGAAUUCCAGGUGUAGCGGUGAAAUGCGUAGAGAUCUGGAGGAAUACCGGUGGCGAAGGCGGCCCCCUGGACAAAGACUGACGCUCAGGUGCGAAAGCGUGGGGAGCAAACAGGAUUAGAUACCCCUGUAGUC
This 464-nucleotide ribosomal RNA is filed under the name uncultured Klebsiella sp. Its description in RNAcentral is "bacterial SSU rRNA". It matches the Rfam family "Bacterial small subunit ribosomal RNA", at positions 338 to 795 of the family's 1533-position model. The record is from RNAcentral. Lineage: Bacteria; Pseudomonadati; Pseudomonadota; Gammaproteobacteria; Enterobacterales; Enterobacteriaceae.